This 385-nucleotide ribosomal RNA is filed under the name uncultured bacterium. RNAcentral describes it as "bacterial SSU rRNA". It matches the Rfam family "Bacterial small subunit ribosomal RNA", at positions 28 to 412 of the family's 1533-position model. The record is from RNAcentral.
GACGAACGCUGGCGGCGUGCUUAACACAUGCAAGUCGAGCGGUAAGGCCCUUUCGGGGGUACGACGAGCGGCGAACGGGUGAGUAACACGUGGGUGACCCGCCCUCAGCUCUGGGAUAAGCCCGGGAAACUGGGUCUAAUACCGGAUAUGACUCCAUGACGCAUGUUGUGGGGUGGAAAGCCUUGUGCGGCUGAGGAUGGGCCCGCGGCCUAUCAGCUUGUUGGUGGGGUGAUGGCCUACCAAGGCGACGACGGGUAGCCGGCCUGAGAGGGCGACCGGCCACACUGGGACUGAGAUACGGCCCCAGACUCCUACGGGAGGCAGCAGUGGGGAAUCUUGCGCAAUGGGCGAAAGCCUGACGCAGCGACGCCGCGUGAGGGAUGAC